Molecule: long non-coding RNA, 858 nt
Organism: Rattus rattus (black rat)
Lineage: Eukaryota; Metazoa; Chordata; Mammalia; Rodentia; Muridae
Exons: 3
Source: RefSeq, a predicted model, not a curated record
UCUUCACCAAUUUAUACUCCCACAAGCAGUGUACGAAAUAUCCUGUUCUCCACAUCCUUGCCAGAACUUCAUGCAGUCAGACUGCCGUUUUUGCCAAUCAGGUUACUAUUGGGUCUAUCCACAGCAACAUUUCCCCAAUGACUCUCUACAGGAGGGAGAAAAAUGAGGCUGAGACUAAGCUGGAUGGAUGUGAAUUCUUGGAUGCAUCACUGCAGCCAGCACACCCUACAAGUUCUCCCAGUGGCACAGGUGGGAUCAGGAGGAAACUUUUCUAAACUGCCUUGACCCUACAGUGAGGAGAAAAUGAUGAGCGAAUACAAAUGAAACUCUAUGAAAACCAUACGGUGGUUCGGAGUCAAGGAAAAGAGGCUACACAAAAGUUACACUAAAAACAGAGCGAAGGAGUGUGAAGGGAAAAUGACCAAGACUGAGUGGAGAACAAAACCUAUGGAGAACUAGACAGUUUAUAUGAAGAACCCCGGGGGAGUCAUUUUGGAGCCGUGCCGCUGAUUAUGAAUAUCAUAAAAACUUUGCAUGAAUGUGGGUGUUGCUGCAAGAGGAAAAAAUACAAGAAUACGGCAGAGUCAUUUUAUAUGUGGUACAUUACAUGGCAAAUAAGUGACAAUAUAUGAUGUGUUUGUGGCUAUUCUCGAGUAAGAAUCAGGGCAUGGAUAAGUAAAACAUGUUUAAACGGAGCUUCAAUGUACAGGUCCUAAAAGGAGACAAUAUUGCCCUCUCAAAUCUUUUUCUCUUCAGUAUGUUUAUAUUGAAAAGCCUAUAAUUAAUGGUUGCUAAGGAAUAAAGUGAUGAUUUUAUGUGCUUUGUUAUAAAGUCGAUAAUAUAAAAAAUUAAAAAGUA